UACGGGGGGGGCAAGCGUUGUUCGGAAUUACUGGGCGUAAAGGGCUCGUAGGCGGCCAACUAAGUCCGACGUGAAAUCCCCAGGCUUAACCUGGGAACUGCGUCGGAUACUGGUUGGCUUGAAUCCGGGAGAGGGAUGCGGAAUUCCAGGUGUAGCGGUGAAAUGCGUAGAUAUCAGGAGGAACACCGGUGGCGAAGGCGGGUCUCUGGGCCGAUACUGACGCUGAGGAGCUAAAGCGUGGGGAGCGAACAGG
RNAcentral lists this ribosomal RNA (253 nucleotides) under uncultured bacterium. RNAcentral's name for it is "partial 16S ribosomal RNA". It matches the Rfam family "Bacterial small subunit ribosomal RNA", at positions 524 to 776 of the family's 1533-position model. The record is from RNAcentral.